AAUUUUUUAGUAUAAACAGUACGUUUGGCUUCCAACUAAAUGGUCUAAUUCCCUUAGAAAAAUUA
RNAcentral lists this transfer RNA (65 nucleotides) under Stereomastis sculpta. RNAcentral's name for it is "tRNA-Gly". The record is from RNAcentral. Lineage: Eukaryota; Metazoa; Arthropoda; Malacostraca; Decapoda; Crangonidae.